CAAUAGCGUAUAUUAAAGUUGUUGCAGUUAAAAAGCUCGUAGUCUGACCGUUGUCCUGGCAUUGAGCGUCCGUGGUUACUGAUCAUGUGUACGCGAGGUGCUGGACACUACCUUCGGAGGAGCGUUCGUGCUUUUAACUAAGUGCGUGCGGGAUUCCGAUAGUUUACUUUGAGAAAAAUAGAGUGUUCAAAGCAGGCGUUUGCCUUGAAUACAUUAGCAUGGGAUAAUGAAAUAGGACGUUGGUUCUAUUUUGAUGGUUUACGGACCGACGUAAUGAUUAAUAGGGACAGUUGGGGACAUUUAUAUUCCAUGGCUAGAGGUGAAAUUCUUGGAUUCAUGGAAGAUAAACUACUGCGAAAGCAUUUGUCAAAGAUGUUUUCAUUGAUCAAGAACGAAAGUUAGGGGGAGCAAAAGACUAGUACUACGAAGUAACCGUUACCCGUUCGUAGGAACGUACGUCCGAACCGGAACGGACCAACCAAC
RNAcentral lists this ribosomal RNA (483 nucleotides) under uncultured eukaryote. Its description in RNAcentral is "bacterial SSU rRNA". It matches the Rfam family "Eukaryotic small subunit ribosomal RNA", at positions 592 to 1088 of the family's 1831-position model. The record is from RNAcentral.